GAAAUGCGAUAAGUAAUGUGAAUUGCAGAAUUCAGUGAAUCAUCGAAUCUUUGAACGCACAUUGCGCCCGCCAGUAUUCUGGCGGGCAUGCCUGUUCGAGCGUCAUUACAACCCUCAGGCCCCCGGGCCUGGCGUUGGGGAUCGGCGGAAGCCCCCUGCGGGCACAACGCCGUCCCCCAAAUACAGUGGCGGUCCCGCCGCAGCUUCCAUUGCGUAGUAGCUAACACCUCGCAACUGGAGAGCGGCGCGGCCACGCCGUAAAACACCCAACUUCUGAAUGUUGACCUCGAAUCAGGUAGGAAUACCCACUGAACUUAAGC
RNAcentral lists this unclassified non-coding RNA (320 nucleotides) under plant metagenome. RNAcentral describes it as "partial contains 5.8S ribosomal RNA, internal transcribed spacer 2, and large subunit ribosomal RNA". The stretch from base 1 to 105 matches the Rfam family "5.8S ribosomal RNA", at positions 50 to 154 of the family's 154-position model. The record is from RNAcentral.